RNAcentral lists this non-coding RNA (23 nucleotides) under Rattus norvegicus (Norway rat). Lineage: Eukaryota; Metazoa; Chordata; Mammalia; Rodentia; Muridae. The record is from RNAcentral.
UUGUAGACGGGUGGGGAGUUCCC